This 554-nucleotide unclassified non-coding RNA is filed under the name Hevea brasiliensis (rubber tree). The record is from RNAcentral. Lineage: Eukaryota; Viridiplantae; Streptophyta; Magnoliopsida; Malpighiales; Euphorbiaceae.
GGUAAUUUACAAGUACUGAACCAAAAAUGUUGAACUUUGGAGCACUACCAUAUGCAGCUUCUGCAUCAGAACACUUCUUGAAAACAACUCUGGCACGAUUGGUAUCCUUAUCUACUUCUGUCUCUGACUCUUUCAAAGGCCCAAACCGCCUAAACAUCUUAUUCAGGCUUAUUUCUGAAGGAACACAAUCCACCACAGGAAAAUGCAUAACAAGUUCUGCUGGUGCAUUCUCAUCUACGUAACUCACUGGUUUCUCUGCUGAUAGACCAUAAUUGCCAUCAGAAUACCGCUUUCUAGAGUUUGACUUAUUAAGGGCCUUGUCCUGGUCCAUAGAAACAAGUUGAUUAUCCCGUUUUCUACUUUUACGUGGUGGUUGCUCUUCAGAACCAUUUUGAAUAACCCGGUCGGUCCAAUAAGUGUCAUUCAUAUCCUCAAAUUCGAAUGUCUCAGGAGAACAAAAAAUGGAAUGAGAUGCUUGUCUCCUUUUACAACCUACUUUCUCAUGCUGUUCCAUAAUCACUGAGUUCCUAAAAUCAGAGAAAAAACUAAUAAUG